RNAcentral lists this ribosomal RNA (253 nucleotides) under uncultured bacterium. RNAcentral describes it as "partial 16S ribosomal RNA". It matches the Rfam family "Bacterial small subunit ribosomal RNA", at positions 524 to 776 of the family's 1533-position model. The record is from RNAcentral.
UACGUAGGGUGCAAGCGUUGUCCGGAAUUAUUGGGCGUAAAGGGCUCGUAGGCGGUCCGUCACGUCGGGAGUGAAAACUUGGGGCUUAACCCCAAGCCUGCUUCCGAUACGGGCGGACUAGAGGUAGGCAGGGGAGAACGGAAUUCCUGGUGUAGCGGUGAAAUGCGCAGAUAUCAGGAAGAACACCCGUGGCGAAGGCGGUUCUCUGGGACGGUACUGACGCUGAGACGCGAAAGCGUGGGGAGCGAACAGG